Molecule: ribosomal RNA, 253 nt
Filed under: uncultured prokaryote
Description: partial 16S ribosomal RNA
Rfam family: Bacterial small subunit ribosomal RNA
Source: RNAcentral
ACAGAGGUCGCAAGCGUUGUUCGGAAUUACUGGGCGUAAAGGGAGCGCAGGCGGCCAGGUCAGUCUGGAGUGCAAGCCCGGGGCUCAACCCCGGAAUUGCUUUGGAUACUACUUGGCUUGAGUACGUCAGAGGUGAGCGGAAUUCCAGGUGUAGCGGUGAAAUGCGUAGAUAUCUGGAGGAACAUCGGUGGCGAAAGCGGCUCACUGGGACGACACUGACGCUGAGGCUCGGAAGCGUGGGGAGCGAACAGGA